RNAcentral lists this ribosomal RNA (379 nucleotides) under uncultured eukaryote. Its description in RNAcentral is "partial 18S ribosomal RNA". It matches the Rfam family "Eukaryotic small subunit ribosomal RNA", at positions 592 to 976 of the family's 1831-position model. The record is from RNAcentral.
CAAUAGCGUAUAUUUAAGUUGUUGCAGUUAAAAAGCUCGUAGUUGGAUUUCGGAUGGGAUCUGCCGGUCCGUCUUUGAGAUGUGUACUGGUAGGUCCUAUCUUGUUGUCGGGGACCAGCUCCUGGGCUUCACUGUCCGGGACUGGGAGCCGACGAAGUUACUUUGAGUAAAUUAGAGUGUUCAAAGCAAGCCUUCGCUCUGAAUAUAAUAGCAUGGGAUAACACGACAGGACUCUGGCCUAUCGUGUUGGUCUGUAGGACCGGAGUAAUGAUUAAGAGGAACAGUCGGGGGCAUUCGUAUUCCAUUGUCAGAGGUGAAAUUCUUAGAUUUAUGGAAGACGAACAUCUGCGAAAGCAUUUGCCAAGGAUGUUUUCAUUGA